RNAcentral lists this ribosomal RNA (744 nucleotides) under uncultured bacterium. RNAcentral's name for it is "bacterial SSU rRNA". It matches the Rfam family "Bacterial small subunit ribosomal RNA", at positions 74 to 817 of the family's 1533-position model. The record is from RNAcentral.
GGAAGCUUGCUUCCUAGAGACCGGCGCACGGGUGCGUAACGCGUAUGCAAUCUACCUUGUACAGGGGGAUAGCCCAGAGAAAUUUGGAUUAAUACCCCAUAGUAUUAUUGAGUGGCAUCACUUAAUUAUUAAAGUUCCAACGGUACAAGAUGAGCAUGCGUCCUAUUAGCUAGUUGGUGUGGUAACGGCAUACCAAGGCUACGAUAGGUAGGGGUCCUGAGAGGGAGAUCCCCCACACUGGUACUGAGACACGGACCAGACUCCUACGGGAGGCAGCAGUGAGGAAUAUUGGACAAUGGGCGCAAGCCUGAUCCAGCCAUGCCGCGUGCAGGAAGAAGCAUCUAUGGUGUGUAAACUGCUUUUGUACGGGAAGAAACACUGCUACGUGUAGCAGCUUGACGGUACCGUAAGAAUAAGGAUCGGCUAACUCCGUGCCAGCAGCCGCGGUAAUACGGAGGAUCCAAGCGUUAUCCGGAAUCAUUGGGUUUAAAGGGUCCGUAGGCGGUCUAAUAAGUCAGUGGUGAAAGCCCAUCGCUCAACGAUGGAACGGCCAUUGAUACUGUUAGACUUGAAUUAUUGGGAAGUAACUAGAAUAUGUAGUGUAGCGGUGAAAUGCUUAGAUAUUACAUGGAAUACCAAUUGCGAAGGCAGGUUACUAUCAAUAUAUUGACGCUGAUGGACGAAAGCGUGGGGAGCGAACAGGAUUAGAUACCCUGGUAGUCCACGCCGUAAACGAUGGAUACU